Molecule: transfer RNA, 68 nt
Filed under: Bos taurus (domestic cattle)
Lineage: Eukaryota; Metazoa; Chordata; Mammalia; Artiodactyla; Bovidae
Also listed under: 3 other names
Rfam family: tRNA
About the family: Transfer RNA (tRNA) molecules are approximately 80 nucleotides in length. Their secondary structure includes four short double-helical elements and three loops (D, anti-codon, and T loops).
Source: Rfam by way of RNAcentral
CCUGGUGGCUCAGAUGUAAAGAAUCUGCCUGCAAUGCAGGAGACCCAGGUUCAAUCCCUGGGUCAGGA